Molecule: ribosomal RNA, 1086 nt
Filed under: uncultured bacterium
Lineage: Bacteria
Description: bacterial SSU rRNA
Rfam family: Bacterial small subunit ribosomal RNA
Source: RNAcentral
UCGAGGGGCAGCAUGAAGUUUGCUUGCAAACUUUGAUGGCGACCGACGCACGGGUGAGUAACGCGUAUCCAACCUUCCCUAUAGUAGAGAAUAGCCCGGCGAAAGUCGGAUUAAUGCUCUAUGUUAUUCAAAGCGGACAUCUAAUUUGAAUCAAAGGUUCACCGCUAUAGGAUGGGGAUGCGUCUGAUUAGCUUGAUGGCGGGGUAACGGCCCACCAUGGCGACGAUCAGUAGGGGUUCUGAGAGGAAGGUCCCCCACAUUGGAACUGAGACACGGUCCAAACUCCUACGGGAGGCAGCAGUGAGGAAUAUUGGUCAAUGGGCGAGAGCCUGAACCAGCCAAGUAGCGUGCAGGAUGACGGCCCUAUGGGUUGUAAACUGCUUUUAUGCGGGGAUAAAGUCGGCUACGCGUAGCCGUUUGUAGGUACCGCAUGAAUAAGGACCGGCUAAUUCCGUGCCAGCAGCCGCGGUAAUACGGAAGGUCCGGGCGUUAUCCGGAUUUAUAUGGGUUUAAAGGGAGCGCAGGCCGGAGGUCAAGCGUGACGUGAAAUGUAGGGGCUCAACCUUUGAAUUGCGUCGCGAACUGGUUUCCUUGAGUGAGUACGACGUCAGCGGAAUUCGUGGUGUAGCGGUGAAAUGCUUAGAUAUCACGAAGAACCCCGAUUGCGAAGGCAGCUGACGAGUCCUUUACUGACGCUAAAGCUCGAAGGUGCGGGUAUCGAACAGGAUUAGAUACCCUGGUAGUCCGCACGGUAAACGAUGGAUGCCCGCUGUUUGCGAUAUAUUGUAAGCGGCCAAGCGAAAGCGUUAAGCAUCCCACCUGGGGAGUACGCCGGCAACGGUGAAACUCAAAGGAAUUGACGGGGGCCCGCACAAGCGGAGGAACAUGUGGUUUAAUUCGAUGAUACGCGAGGAACCUUACCCGGGCUUGAACUGCAGGAGAACGAUCCAGAGAUGGUGAGGCCCUUCGGGGCUCCUGUGGAGGUGCUGCAUGGUUGUCGUCAGCUCGUGCCGUGAGGUGUCGGCUUAAGUGCCAUAACGAGCGCAACCCCUUUCGCCAGUUGCCAUCAGGUGAUGCUGGGCACUC